RNAcentral lists this small RNA (801 nucleotides) under Pongo abelii (Sumatran orangutan). RNAcentral's name for it is "processed transcript". The record is from RNAcentral. Lineage: Eukaryota; Metazoa; Chordata; Mammalia; Primates; Hominidae.
GGUGCAAUUAAAAGGAACUUAUCCAGUGAAGAAGUGGCAAGACCCAGGCGUUCCACACCAACUCCAGAACUUAUAAGCAAAAAGCCUCCAGAUGACACUACGGCCCUUGCUCCUCUCUUUGGCCCACCACUAGAAUCAGCUUUUGAUGAACAGAAGACAGAAGUUCUUUUAGAUCAGCCUGAGAUAUGGGGUUCAGGCCAACCAAUUAAUCCAAGCAUGGAGUCGCCAAAGUUAACAAGGCCUUUUCCCACUGGAACACCUCCACCACUGCCUCCAAAAAAUGUACCAGCUACCCCACCCCGAACAGGAUCCCCCUUAACAAUUGGACCAGGUGCAUCAUCCCCUGCUCGACCAGCCACUCCUUUGCUUCCUUGCAGCAGUACCACUCCACCUCCACCUCCUCCCCGGCCUCCAUCCAGGCCAAAGCUACCUCCAGGAAAGCCUGGAGCUGGAGAUGUGUCCAGACCUUUUAGCCCUCCCAUUCAUUCUUCCAGCCCUCCUCCAAUAGCACCCUUAGCGCGGGCUGAAAGCACUUCUUCAAUAUCGUCAACCAAUUCCUUGAGCGCAGCCACCACUCCCACAGUUGGUAAAAAUUCUCUCCUCUCUUUUAAUCCUUUUGUGGUUUUGACUGGCUAUUUUUUAUGAUCUGAAAUCCCCAAGGCCCUGUGUUUCUGGUUGAAAUUGUUUUGCUGUGUGUUUUGCUAUUAUUACCUGACUCUUCUUUUAAAACCACCUUCUCAGCAAAGGAGGCAAAGUGCUUUACCUAAGCAAAUAAACAAAUAAAAGAACAUUAACACCUGU